CUCUGAGGACGACCUCAUUGAAUGAGGGCUUUUAUGCGGGACGACCCGC
This 49-nucleotide non-coding RNA is filed under the name Marinobacter salinus. RNAcentral's name for it is "Guanidine-II sequence". It matches the Rfam family "Guanidine-II riboswitch aptamer (mini-ykkC)". From Rfam's summary of the family: Simpler in structure and has fewer highly conserved nucleotide positions than the ykkC-yxkD leader. Despite this each of its two stem-loop structures directly bind free guanidine. The record is from RNAcentral. Lineage: Bacteria; Pseudomonadati; Pseudomonadota; Gammaproteobacteria; Pseudomonadales; Marinobacteraceae.